This 305-nucleotide transfer-messenger RNA is filed under the name Spirochaetaceae bacterium. RNAcentral describes it as "partial transfer-messenger RNA". It matches the Rfam family "transfer-messenger RNA", at positions 65 to 374 of the family's 374-position model. From Rfam's summary of the family: Bacterial tmRNA, also known as 10Sa RNA or SsrA, is named for its dual tRNA and mRNA-like properties. Its role is to liberate the mRNA from a stalled ribosome. To accomplish this part of the tmRNA is used as a reading frame that ends in a translation stop signal. The record is from RNAcentral. Lineage: Bacteria; Pseudomonadati; Spirochaetota; Spirochaetia; Spirochaetales; Spirochaetaceae.
CUCCUAAUAUGUUCGGCAAAACUUUAACUGCCAACAACGACAGUUACGAUUACGCCUUAGCGGCAUAAUCGCGUGGAACAGUUCCCGCCGCCUUGAGGGGCUGUCUCCAUGUCGCAAUCGAGGCUGGUCAUAAUGCGGCUUCCGGACGCGGAUUGACAAGAUUUUCCCGGAAUAAGGGUAGCGGCGUGUGCCGUACACAAACCCUGCUCCGACAUGCGAUUUAUUUCGUGUAAUAUGCGGCUAAACCUGUAGACGUGUGUGUUUUGCGUAUUAGGACGCGGGUCCGACUCCCGCCACCUCCAUCA